Non-coding RNA from Diatrype stigma, 94 nucleotides. The record is from the annotation of a GenBank genome assembly. Lineage: Eukaryota; Fungi; Ascomycota; Sordariomycetes; Xylariales; Diatrypaceae.
UAUAUGCAUAGUCGGUAGAGCGCAAGACUCUUAUUCCAUCUCUGGAUCUGAGCUAAUCUUGAGGUUGCGGGUUCGACCCCCGCAUCGGGCUCAA